Molecule: non-coding RNA, 107 nt
Organism: Citrus sinensis (sweet orange)
Lineage: Eukaryota; Viridiplantae; Streptophyta; Magnoliopsida; Sapindales; Rutaceae
Source: Rfam
AGACCAUGAUGUGGAUAUUUUCUCAGUAGGUCUUUAUAUCUCUCCCAUGCUUCAUAUAAUGAUUCCAUCUUGAACUGAUUAAAGGUAGUGAUGUCAUUUCUCAAUUU